CGCACAUUGCGCCCUCCGGUAGCCCGGGGGGCACGCCUGUCCGAGCGUCAUUUCAGACCAUCAAGCCCCAGCUUGGCCUUGGGCGCCUUCGCCCCCUCCCCAGCGGGGGCGCGCCCCAAAUCGGUCGGCGGCGGCAUCCGAGCCCCAAAGCGCAGAGGAAUUCAUUCCACAGCUUUGCGAAGGCCCGCGACGCCAGCAUGCCACGAAAGAAAUCGAGGGCGCCGAAAGGCACCCCCGCGACCUCAAAGGUUGACCUCGGAUCAGGUGAGGGUACCCGCUGAACUUAA
RNAcentral lists this unclassified non-coding RNA (287 nucleotides) under fungal sp. RNAcentral's name for it is "partial contains 5.8S ribosomal RNA, internal transcribed spacer 2, and large subunit ribosomal RNA". The record is from RNAcentral. Lineage: Eukaryota; Fungi.